This 1491-nucleotide ribosomal RNA is filed under the name Entamoeba hartmanni. Its description in RNAcentral is "bacterial SSU rRNA". It matches the Rfam family "Eukaryotic small subunit ribosomal RNA", at positions 464 to 1822 of the family's 1831-position model. Lineage: Eukaryota; Evosea; Mastigamoebida; Endamoebidae. The record is from RNAcentral.
GUAGUGACGACAAAUAACUCACGACAUGCGUAAGCAUGUCUUGAAGGAAUGAGUAAGAAGCAAAGAGUCUUACGAAAUCAAUUGGAGGGCAAGUCUGGUGCCAGCAGCCGCGGUAAUUCCAGCUCCAAUAGUGUAUAUUAAAGUUGUUGUGAUUAAAACGCUCGUAGUUGAAAAUGAUAUAUAUCCAUCGUUCAAGACAUGAGUAUGACUUGAUUGUAUGAAUGUGUUGAACAACAUAAAUGGAUAUAGUAAGGAAUGAUGCGACAUGAAUAUGUUGUGUUGUUAAUUACUUUGAAAAAAUUAGAGUGCUUAAAGCGAAUCUAUUAAAGAAUAGUGAAGCAUGGGACAAUCAAGCGAAUAGGAGAUCUACGGAUUUCGUAUUAGGAAGAAAGAUUAAGAGGAAUAAUUGGGGUAAUUCAGAAAAUAACGGGAGAGGUGAAAAUUCAUGAUCGUUAUAAGAUGAACUAGAGCGAAAGCAUUUUACUCAAUUAUGUUCAUUAAUCAAGAACGAAAGUUAGGGGAUCGAAGACGAUCAGAUACCGUCGUAGUCCUAACUAUAAACGAUGUCAACGAAGGAUUGGAUAAAUUUGAAGACUGAUAAUGAUAUUCAGCAUUGCUGGAUAACAUUUGAAGUCGAAUACACCUUAUUCAGAACUUGAAGAGAAAUCUUGAGUUAUUGGACUUCAGGGGGAGUAUGGUCACAAGGCUGAAACUUAAAGGAAUUGACGGAAGGGCACACAAGGAGUGGAGCCUGCGGCUUAAUUUGACUCAACACGGGAAAACUUACCAAGACCGAACAUUAUGAGGAAUGACAGAUUAAGAGAUCUUUCAUGAUUUAAUGGUGAGUGGUGCAUGGCCGUUCUUAGUUGGUGGUAUGAAUUGUCAGGUUAAUUCCGGUAACGAACGAGACUGAAACCUAUUAAUUAGUUCUGUGCCUAUAAGACACAGGUGUUAGCAAUAACAGAUAGCGAUAUCACUUCUUAAAGGGACACAUUUCAAAUGUUCUUUGAUUAUCAAAAGUUGGAUUCUGUCCAACGUGAUAAACGAAGAAAAAAGAAACAGGAAGCAUUCAGCAAUAACAGGUCUGUGAUGCCCUUAGACAUCUUGGGCUGCACGCGCGCUACAAUGAAGAUAGUAGAGAGUAAUAUAUAUAUGACAGUUUCGUAAUCAUAUAUUGUUUACAAUGUUGGUUAUAGAAAGUGUCAUAAACCGAAACCGUCAGGUGGAGGAAAACUUGAAGCAUCGUACAUGACUGGGAUAAAUGAUUGGAAUUAUUUGUUUUGAACGAGGAAUUCCUUGUAAUAUCACGUCAUCAACGUGAGAUGAAUACGUCCCUGCCCUUUGUACACACCGCCCGUCGCUCCUACCGAUUGAAUAAAGAGGUGAAAUUCUAAGAGUCAAGUAAUUCUGUUAUUUGACAAAUGGAUUUAAAUCUCCUUAUUUAGAGGAAGGAGAAGUCGUAACAAGGUUUCCGUAGGUGAACCUGCGGAA